CAGUUAACUAAAUUUUGCAGUAGCUUGGUGGUAGUUGAAGUAAAUUCAAAUCUUGGUAGUGUUUUCAGUAGUUAAGUCUUUACUGAAGACUCAUCUCUUCUCUGGCCCAGGGGUGUGAAGGUGUCUCUGCUUAGCCAGCUCCCCUCUCUCCACUGGGAUUCUAUGCCUCUGACCCUAUUACCGGGGCUGAAUUGAGGGAGAGGUUGUUGUUUCCCCCCAAUAUGUGUCAAUGGCUUGCCCCUGCAUCAUGUAUUGCCAGGCCUUUUUAUGCUAUAGUUGACUUGAGUGGGUUGACACGUUAUCUUCCGGUCUUGCGCCCCAUCAGGAACGUCUGGUUGGGAAGAUCUUCGUUGUCUCAGGGUAAUAAGUUGGUGGUCUGUUGAUAUCCCUCUGGUGGUGUGGGGGCUGUGCUUUGACAAAGUGGUUGGGGCCUGGUUGGCCCUGUCCAGGCGUAUCGUCCCCCGACCCCCCCUGUCGCAGUCCCCAGUGUCAUACUAUAUAUGUACUGGGGGCUAGGGCUGCAUUUCUCCUGUCUUAUCCUAAUUAUCCCAUCUCUCUCUCUCGCUUUCUCUCCAGAUAGUCGGCCGGCCAGAUUGGACCAGUCAGGCAGCUGGCGAGAUAGUACCAGUCGGCCGGAUGGUCAGAUAGUUGGCUGACCAGAUCGGAGUAGUCGGCCAGCCGGUGAGAUAUGACCAGUCGGACAGAUAGGAUAAGUAGGCAGGCCAAAUAAGACCAGUCGGACAGAUAGGACAAGUCUUUUAGAUGGCCAGUCCUAUCUUGCCAGUUCGGACCAGUAGGCCAGAUAGGACCAGUUGGCCAGCCGGCCCUCCAGAUGAGACCAGUCGGCCAGCCCUCCAGAUAGGACCAAUUAGCCGGCCGGCCAAUUAGGAACGGUCAGUUAGGACCACUCGGCCAGAUAGGACCAGUUGGCCUGCCAUAUAUGCCAGAAAGCAUAAGUCACCUGGCCGGCCAGAUAGGAUAGGACCAGUCGGUCGGCUGGCCAGUUAGGACAAGGUAGCCAGUUGGCCAAAUAAGAGCAGUCUAACGGCCAGAUAGGACCAGUUGGCCAGUUACGACCAGUCACCCAACUGCUCUUUAUUUGGCUGGCCAGCCGACUUCCCCUUUCUGGCCGGCCAGCUGGUCCCAUCUGGCCAGUUAGUACCAGUUGGCCAGAUAGGACCAGUUGGCUGGCCAGCCCUCCAGAUAAGACCAGUAGGUCAGCCAGAUAGGACCAUUCAGCCGACCAGCCAGUUAGGACAAGUCGGCCAGUCGGACAGAUAGGACAAGUAGGCAGGCCGGCCAGAUAGGACAAGUUGGCUGGUCGGACAAAUAAGAGCAGUCGGCCGACCAUCCAGAUAGGACCAGUCGGCCAGCAGGAUAGGACCAGUUGGCCAAAUAAGAGUGGUCGGCCGGUCAUAUAAGACCAGUGAGCCGGCCAGAUAAAACAAGUCAGUCAUUUACAUGUCAAUGAAUUUGAGUGUAUUCACACCCCUGAGUUAGAAUCCCUUUUGGCAAUGAUUACAGCUGUGAGUCUUCCUGAGUAACUCUCGAAGAGCUUUGCAAACCUGGAUUGUACAAUAUUUCCACAUUAUUAUUUUAAAAAUUCUUCAAGCUCUGUCAAGUUGGGUGUUGAUCAUUGCAAGACAGCCAUUUUCAAGACUUGCCAUAGAUUUUGAAGCCAAUUUAAGUCAAAACUGUAACUAGGCCACUCAAUUCAUGUCGUCUUGGUAAGAAAUUCCAGUGAAUAUUUGGCCUUGUGUUUUAGGUUAUUGUCCUGCUGAAAGGUGAAUUUGUCUCCCAGUGUCUGUUUGAAAGCAGGUUUGCAUCUAGGACUUUGCCUGUGCUUAGCUCUAUUCCAUUUAUUUGCAUCCUUUCUUUUCAACCAUUAAACUCUGAAACUCUUUUAAAGUCACCAUUGGCCUCACGGUGACAUCCUUCCUCUCCGCCAACUGAGUUAGGAAGGAUGCCUGUAUCUUUGUAGUGACUGGGUGUAUCCAAAGUGUAAUUAAUAACUUCACCAUGCUCAAAGCGAUCAAUAACUGUUUAAAAAUAUAUAUGUUUUACUCAUCUACCAAUAGGUCCCCUUCUUUGCGAGGCUUUGGAAAACAUCCCUAGUCUUUGUGGUUGAAUAUGUGUUUGAUAAUUCACUGCUCAACUGAGAAACCUUACAGAAAAUUGUAGGUGUGGGAUACAGAGUUGAGGUAGUCAUUCAAAAAUCAUGUUAAACACUAUUAUUGCACACAGAGUGAGUCUAUGCAACUACUGGAACUACACAAAAACUAAAAUAUAAAUGGUGAGGUAGGUUAUAGCUAACUACUGGAACUACACAAAAACGAAAAUAUAAAUGGUGAGGUAGGUUAUAGCUAACUACUGGAACUACACACAAACUAAAAUAUGUAUGGUGAGGUAGGCAAGGAUUUCCUUUAUUUCCUUUAUUUUUAUUUUUUCCGCAUCAAAUCUGCCAAAUUACACAUUCUGUUAACGUAUGACCCCAAAGUUAUCUGUUUUUGCAAUUUGUAGUCAUUUGUAUGGCAUUUCAGAUUGACAUAUGAUCUUUUUUCAGUAACUGGGUUGGAUGUAGUAAGCUACUUUUUUUGAAGUAACUUAGUUCAGUAAACUCAAUUUGUAUUAAUAGUAGCUUUAGUGUAGCUUAAGUUUUUCCAGUGUGAGGUGAUUGGUAGCUUGGUAAACUACAUUUUCAGAGCAGCUUCCCCACACUGAUUACAAGGUACUUUAGUUUGCACAGGGAUUUGAAGUGCACUGAAAUAUACAGUUGCUAAAACACAAUUCGUUUUCAGUGGAUGGGGCCCCACUGCAUUCAUCUAUACAUCUCUCCAUGCCUCCAACAACAAAACCCAAACCAACAGAAGAACAGAGUUGAGAUCAAAGGGCACACCUCCUUGCUUGCACAUAGCACCUCAAGGGCACUCCAUGCCUGCUCUCCC
Molecule: long non-coding RNA, 2945 nt
Filed under: Salmo salar (Atlantic salmon)
Lineage: Eukaryota; Metazoa; Chordata; Actinopteri; Salmoniformes; Salmonidae
Description: lncRNA (ENSSSAG00000105797.1)
Source: RNAcentral